UGGGGAAUAUUGGACAAUGGGCGGAAGCCUGAUCCAGCAAUGCCGCGUGCAGGAUGAAGGCCCUCGGGUUGUAAACUGCUUUUGUACGGAACGAAAAGCCUGGGGCUAAUAUCCCCGGGUCAUGACGGUACCGUAAGAAUAAGCACCGGCUAACUACGUG
Molecule: ribosomal RNA, 160 nt
Filed under: uncultured bacterium
Lineage: Bacteria
Description: partial 16S ribosomal RNA
Rfam family: Bacterial small subunit ribosomal RNA
Source: RNAcentral